GUGUUUUAUUUUGGUACUCUGGUAAUAAUCACCUCCAGCGUGUACAGUGUCAUUCCCUACAGAAGGCUGGAUGUUCUCAAAGCUGUAGUAUUUACGUCUGUGAAGUUUUUCUCUACACGGUGUGUUUUUUGAAACUACUUUUAAGGUUUUGAUGAUGGGUUUGAAAAUGCACAAUUUUAUUUUCUCUGAAUGGCAAUGUGAGCAAUACAAAAUUACACAUCACUCUCGGUGGGAGAUUGACUGAAGAGAUCGGACAGGAUUCAGAUCCAUUCGUACUGAUGACCUUGAUACCCUGAAGAAGAUUCAUUCCUGCCUGUGUGCAAAUGGCAGCCAAGCUAUGCAGCACACGUUGAAGUAACAUAUUUUUUGAUGUCUUUCAGCAGCUCUGACUGAAAUAAAAAUGAUCACCG
This is a long non-coding RNA of Oreochromis aureus, 410 nucleotides long. NCBI's taxonomy places the organism in Eukaryota, Metazoa, Chordata, Actinopteri, Cichliformes, Cichlidae. The record is from Ensembl.